RNAcentral lists this ribosomal RNA (442 nucleotides) under uncultured bacterium. RNAcentral's name for it is "bacterial SSU rRNA". It matches the Rfam family "Bacterial small subunit ribosomal RNA", at positions 28 to 489 of the family's 1533-position model. The record is from RNAcentral.
GACGAACGCUGGCGGCGUGCUUAACACAUGCAAGUCGAACGGUAAGGCCCUUCGGGGUACGACGAGUGGCGAACGGGUGAGUAACACGUGGGUGAUCUGCCCUGCACUUCGGGAUAAGCCUGGGAAACUGGGUCUAAUACCGGAUAGGACCAUGGACUUCACGGUUUGUGGUGGAAAGCUUUUGCGGUGUGGGAUGGGCCCGCGGCCUAUCAGCUUGUUGGUGGGGUAAUGGCCUACCAAGGCGACGACGGGUAGCCGGCCUGAGAGGGUGUCCGGCCACACUGGGACUGAGAUACGGCCCAGACUCCUACGGGAGGCAGCAGUGGGGAAUAUUGCACAAUGGGCGCAAGCCUGAUGCAGCGACGCCGCGUGAGGGAUGACGGCCUCGGUUGUAAACCUCUUUCAAUAGGACGAAGCGCAAGUGACGGUACCUAUAGAAGAA